AAUAAAAUCCAACUCAUUUUUGGGAAUAGGGAGUGGAUGGAGGUGGAUCUGUGUUGGACACAAAUCCCAGACUGGUCAAAGUAUCAGCUGGUUGGAUCAUGCAGGGGAUGCAAUGUUUUCAACAUUCCUUAGCUGUCUUUUUCUUCUCCCAAAGAGUUUAUAGUCUAAAUGCUUAAGCACUUCCUAGAGAGGUAGGGGACUUUCAUAACUUCAGGAUGAGAAAGAACUGAUGUGGUUGUUUCCCUGUGACCAUGUACGUCUGGUGACAACCCAUGGCAUCAUCAAGGGUAGUACCAGCAGCAUUUCUCCAUGGUAGAGAAUUACACCUUGCCAGCAGCAGCAGACCUCAGCUUAUGGAACAGCAGCUUCUCUGACAGCAGUGAACACCUUGUCUGAGGAGCUGAUUCCUCCUCCCCAGGAACAGAUUCAGUGGAAGCUGCAGAGACUGUACUUCCCAAGACUGAGUACUGGGUACUCUCAAAUGGCUGAAGCAUUGGAUUUGAACUCACCCCAGGCAGAAGAUUUACCAGCUAGGAACCCAGCACUACAAUGAGUUCCACAGUAACCAGAAAUAUUAUUAUAUCUCUCCAGGUCUGUCAGUGAGGUAUGAUUAGGGCCUGUCUGCAGACCUAGAUAUGCAAAACAUACUAAAAAAGUACAAUUAUUG
RNAcentral lists this long non-coding RNA (667 nucleotides) under Anas platyrhynchos platyrhynchos (common mallard). RNAcentral's name for it is "lncRNA (ENSAPLG00000026949.1)". The record is from RNAcentral. Lineage: Eukaryota; Metazoa; Chordata; Aves; Anseriformes; Anatidae.